This is an RNA transcript of Varanus komodoensis (Komodo dragon), 557 nucleotides long. It is a transcript of the gene named putative protein ZNF720, with no coding region annotated. NCBI's taxonomy places the organism in Eukaryota, Metazoa, Chordata, Lepidosauria, Squamata, Varanidae. The transcript has 5 exons. The record is from RefSeq and is a predicted model, not a curated record.
GGUUUGGAUGUCCUCAGUCUGAAAAAAGCCACCUCACUUUUCCUCCUGCAAGCCAAGGAUGGUCAAGGGAGCAGUCCUCACAGCAACCCUGUAAGGGUCCUUUGAGGAAGACUCUGUCCUUUCACCAUGGGGGAGUGGGAACUCUUGGAUUCAGGCCAGAAGGCUCUGUAUAAGGAAGCCAUACUGGAGAACUAUGGGAAAGUGGCCUCUCUGGAAGCCCUGCCCAAACCAGACCUCAUCUCCAAGCUGGAAGAAGGAGAAGAUCCAGUUGCCCAAGCAAACAACUGUGAAGUUGGAACAGACACAUUUGGGAAUCAAAGGAGAUUGACAAAAUAUGAGGGAAAUGAAGCAAACUCCGAUACGAAGCAAGUAUUUACUUCUGGGGGGACUGACUUCCACGAACACCAAAUCCCCCAAAAAGGAUAAACCGUAUGAAUGCAUGAAGUGUGGAAAGAACUUCAGCCAGCGUGGACAACUUACUUCACAUCAAAGAACACACAAUGGAGAGAAACCCUAUCAAUGCAUUGAGUGUGGAAAGACCUUUAGUCAGCGUGGAC